This is a long non-coding RNA of Episyrphus balteatus (marmalade hoverfly), 1033 nucleotides long. RefSeq lists it as uncharacterized. The transcript is spliced from 2 exons. NCBI's taxonomy places the organism in Eukaryota, Metazoa, Arthropoda, Insecta, Diptera, Syrphidae. The record is from RefSeq and is a predicted model, not a curated record.
GUAAAAUUAUAAUUUUAUAAAUAUAAAAAUAAAUUUUACAUUUACACAUAAGUCAAAACGAGAGAGUUCUCGGGGGACUGUGACGAAGCGUUUCAAUUUAAAUAUCCAAUUCCAAUAAACGAAUUAAAAUUGUAUAUGAAACUUUACACAAUUAGCCUCUCCAAUAAAAUGCAUACACAUACACAUGCCGUGUGACGUAGCCACACACUUAGAACAAAACGGAAGAAACAAAAAAAAGAAACAAGAACAAACAACACUUCUAACCAUGAAUCCCUUCAAGCAAGAAAACUGAGUUCAACAAAGACACUCCGCCCUCAGAACGCGAAAAAAGGGGUUGCACUCACACACUUGCAACUUUUUGUGUAUGAACACAAAAGUCGAAGGAGAAGCGUGGUGAAAAAUGAGAAAAGGAAAAGAAAGACAAGGCCAACAAGAGCCAAAGCGUCAUUUUGUUAUUUUUUGUUGAAGUGUUUGGUCGCGUCGUGUCUCGUGUCGUUGUUUGUAUAAUGUUAGUUUAUUAAUUAUAAACAAUUUUAUUAAAUUAUAAACAAUAUGGAAAACAAAAAAGAUGAAGAAAAAUCUAGAAGGUGAAACAUGCGAUUGGGAAUUAAAAAAAACACCAACAACAGCAGCAGCAUCAAAUGAAAUAAAAUAAAAAAAAAGUUAUUGUAUUUUAUAUUGUAUUUAUUGUGAAAAUUUCGUUUGCCAAAAUAAAAUAAAAAAUAAAACAGUUUCAGUGAAAAAAAAAUGAAUCUUGUUCUUUUUUUGGUCGCAAAUGCGAAAUGUCAUCCCUUUCUUAUUCCUCUUUCUGGUAGGUUUUUGCUGCUCCGGCUCAGGUCCGCCUUCGGCUCCGUUUUCUCGGAAUGGAGAUUUUCACCACACCAAUACAUAUGCAAUCGACUUCGCGGUGAUUAUAAUUUCCAUACUAAUUUGAGCCGCCUUCGGACCAGUUUCUGAUCCGAAGUCGGACUCAGCUCCGCCUCAGGCGGAGCGGAUUCGGACCGAGGUCGGACCUGUUUGCUUGAAGGGAUAC